Dicentrarchus labrax (European seabass) is the source of this 868-nucleotide long non-coding RNA. RefSeq lists it as uncharacterized. The record is from RefSeq and is a predicted model, not a curated record. NCBI's taxonomy places the organism in Eukaryota, Metazoa, Chordata, Actinopteri, Moronidae. The transcript has 4 exons.
UUGUUUAUUUGAGUAUUCAGGUGUCAAUCUGUCAUUUGUCCAAUCAGGGUCUAUUAGGGAUGAGUAUGGGGUAAACUACCGGAUUCUGAGAGGGCGGGAUUAAAGAGAGAGACGGAGAAACACUGUGCUGUUCAUAAGUUUAUAAAAUAGUGUUAAAGUUACUUUAUUUCUUUAAUUAAAAACGCUGAGGGUGUUUAUGAGUCUGGACUCUGCUAAGAGGACGAAGAAGACAAGUGCCUCGUGUGGACUGUUGCUAGGACGAGCAUUAGCCGUUGCUAUGGAGGAGCACAACUUUCAUCAGCUGCCAGUGGACAGAGGUUUUGAACUAAACAAACAACGUUUCUAUCCAGUUAGAGUCCUCCCUGUGAGACUCUGAUUUGUCCAGUUGAGAGGAAGACAACAUCUGGUGUGGUCAGAGGUUCAGAGGUUUUCUUUCCUCUGUACCAGAAGUAUUUCCAACCAGAUGAUGAUGGGUUCACAGAGCAGUUUGUUGAAUUGCAGGUUGUGGCUGGUGAUUGGACGGGAGAACAAAUGUGGUUACUUUAAAAUGGAACUUGCUUCAUUCUCUCUUUUCCCUGACUGUCAAUCAAACUGUGCUGUGCCAAAAUGUGUCGUGCUACCAAGUGUCUAAUCUCUGAAGUAUCUUGUAAAAGAGCAGACCUUACAGCUCUUUGGGUAAGAAAACCUUUUUGUUAAUUUAUUUUCCCCUGUUUAUGUUAAGGACGAAGUACGAUGCCUGUGUUUUCUUUUGUUUUCUUUUAGAUAAGUAUCAUAAAAUGAUAUAUGGUUCUGUUAACUGUUUUAGCCAUGCUCUUCCCUACACCUGUUCUACCCUGAUUUGGCAUAAAUAAAUUCAGUUUGGACUGCA